GGUCUUUUGUUUAUAUAAAAGAUCUGGCCUGCCCUAUGAUUUAUUUUAAAUGGCUGCAGUAUUUUGACUGUACAAAGGUAGCAUAAUCAUUUGUCUUUUAAUUGAAGGCUGGUAUGAAUGGUUAGAUGAAAAAUAUACUUUCUUUAUUUUAUAUAAAAAAAUUAAUUUUCUAGUCAAAAAGCUAGGAUAUAAUUAUAGGACGAGAAGACCCUAUAGAACUUUAUUAUAUAUAUAUAUAAUUUUUAUUGAUUUAUUAAAAAAUUAUAUAUAAUUUUUAAUUUUGUUGGGGUGACAGAAAAAAUAAUAUAACUUUUUCUAUUUUUUACAUUUAUAUAUGUUAAAUUGAUCUUUUAUUAAGGAUAAAAAGACUAAGUUACCUUAGGGAUAACAGCGUUAUUCUUUUUGAGAGUUCUUAUUGAUAAAAGAGUUUGCGACCUCGAUGUUGGAUUAAAAUAAGUAGCAGGGGUAGAAUAUUGUUUUACUAGGUCUGUUCGACCUUUAAAUUUUUACA
This 511-nucleotide ribosomal RNA is filed under the name Proba sp. WCW-2003. RNAcentral describes it as "partial 16S ribosomal RNA". It matches the Rfam family "Bacterial large subunit ribosomal RNA", at positions 1829 to 2600 of the family's 2925-position model. The record is from RNAcentral. Lineage: Eukaryota; Metazoa; Arthropoda; Insecta; Hemiptera; Miridae.